GACGAACGCUGGCGGCGUGCCUAAUACAUGCAAGUAGAACGCUGAAGAGAGGAGCUUGCUCUUCUUGGAUGAGUUGCGAACGGGUGAGUAACGCGUAGGUAACCUGCCUUGUAGCGGGGGAUAACUAUUGGAAACGAUAGCUAAUACCGCAUAACAAUGGAUGACACAUGUCAUUUAUUUGAAAGGGGCAAUUGCUCCACUACAAGAUGGACCUGCGUUGUAUUAGCUAGUAGGUGAGGUAACGGCUCACCUAGGCGACGAUACAUAGCCGACCUGAGAGGGUGAUCGGCCACACUGGGACUGAGACACGGCCCAGACUCCUACGGGAGGCAGCAGUAGGGAAUCUUCGGCAAUGGGGGCAACCCUGACCGAGCAACGCCGCGUGAGUGAAGAAGGUUUUCGGAUCGUAAAGCUCUGUUGUAAGUCAAGAACGAGUGUGAGAGUGGAAAGUUCACACUGUAACGGUAGCUUACCAGAAAGGGACGGCUAACUACGUG
RNAcentral lists this ribosomal RNA (497 nucleotides) under uncultured bacterium. Its description in RNAcentral is "partial 16S ribosomal RNA". It matches the Rfam family "Bacterial small subunit ribosomal RNA", at positions 28 to 507 of the family's 1533-position model. The record is from RNAcentral.